This 71-nucleotide transfer RNA is filed under the name Gemmata algarum. RNAcentral's name for it is "tRNA-Gln". It matches the Rfam family "tRNA". From Rfam's summary of the family: Transfer RNA (tRNA) molecules are approximately 80 nucleotides in length. Their secondary structure includes four short double-helical elements and three loops (D, anti-codon, and T loops). Further hydrogen bonds mediate the characteristic L-shaped molecular structure. tRNAs have two regions of fundamental functional importance: the anti-codon, which is responsible for specific mRNA codon recognition, and the 3' end, to which the tRNAs corresponding amino acid is attached (by aminoacyl-tRNA synthetases). tRNAs cope with the degeneracy of the genetic code in two manners: having more than one tRNA (with a specific anti-codon) for a particular amino acid; and 'wobble' base-pairing, i.e. permitting non-standard base-pairing at the 3rd anti-codon position. The record is from RNAcentral. Lineage: Bacteria; Pseudomonadati; Planctomycetota; Planctomycetia; Gemmatales; Gemmataceae.
UGGGGAAUGGUGUAACGGUAGCACGAGUGACUCUGACUCACUUAGUUAUGGUUCGAAUCCAUAUUCCCCAA